AGAGUUUGAUCCUGGCUCAGGACGAACGCUGGCGGCGUGCCUAAUACAUGCAAGUAGAACGCUGAAGAGAGGAGCUUGCUCUUCUUGGAUGAGUUGCGAACGGGUGAGUAACGCGUAGGUAACCUGCCUUGUAGCGGGGGAUAACUAUUGGAAACGAUAGCUAAUACCGCAUAACAAUGGAUGACACAUGUCAUUUAUUUGAAAGGGGCAAUUGUUCCACUACAAGAUGGACCUGCGUUGUAUUAGCUAGUAGGUGAGGUAAUGGCUCACCUAGGCGACGAUACAUAGCCGACCUGAGAGGGUGAUCGGCCACACUGGGACUGAGACACGGCCCAGACUCCUACGGGAGGCAGCAGUAGGGAAUCUUCGGCAAUGGGGGCAACCCUGACCGAGCAACGCCGCGUGAGUGAAGAAGGUUUUCGGAUCGUAAAGCUCUGUUGUAAGUCAAGAACGGGUGUGAGAGUGGAAAGUUCACACUGUGACGGUAGCUUACCAGAAAGGGACGGCUAACUACGUGCCAGCAGCCGCGGUAAUACGUAGGUCCCGAGCGUUGUCCGGAUUUAUUGGGCGUAAAGCGAGCGCAGGCGGUUUGAUAAGUCUGAAGUUAAAGGCUGUGGCUCAACCAUAGUUCGCUUUGGAAACUGUCAAACUUGAGUGCAGAAGGGGAGAGUGGAAUUCCAUGUGUAGCGGUGAAAUGCGUAGAUAUAUGGAGGAACACCGGUGGCGAAAGCGGCUCUCUGGUCUGUAACUGACGCUGAGGCUCGAAAGCGUGGGGAGCGAACAGGAUUAGAUACCCUGGUAGUCCACGCCGUAAACGAUGAGUGCUAGGUGUUGGAUCCUUUCCGGGAUUCAGUGCCGCAGCUAACGCAUUAAGCACUCCGCCUGGGGAGUACGACCGCAAGGUUGAAACUCAAAGGAAUUGACGGGGGCCCGCACAA
RNAcentral lists this ribosomal RNA (938 nucleotides) under gut metagenome. RNAcentral's name for it is "bacterial SSU rRNA". It matches the Rfam family "Bacterial small subunit ribosomal RNA", at positions 8 to 928 of the family's 1533-position model. The record is from RNAcentral.